Molecule: long non-coding RNA, 352 nt
Organism: Clupea harengus (Atlantic herring)
Lineage: Eukaryota; Metazoa; Chordata; Actinopteri; Clupeiformes; Clupeidae
Gene: nxt2
Exons: 2
Source: RefSeq, a predicted model, not a curated record
UCCGGUGCCAAACAAAUUCAAAACAAGAUUUUGUAUUGUGGUUUAUCUAAUGUCUGUUUUAUACUAUUUUUACAAUAACUUUUCUGAUUAAUAACACGACAAUUGCUUUAAGAUAUAAAUUAUUAGGAAAACAAACGUCUCCUACAUGGACUUGUAAAGCGGAACUAUUUAGUAGACUUGGUCACGUAGAGGGAAGAAACGGUGUUGCACCGAAGGUUCCAAGUGGAGUGUGGUGUGUUUCUCUGCUUCUGGUGGAGUCGGCCCAGGAACGGAGUCGCUAGCUAGCCUUGUCUAGCUUGAGAAGAAUGGUGUCCUCGUCCGUCAGCUUGGUUAAGGACGUAAACUAGAAAGC